CCGAUGACAAAGGCCAAUGCACCUGUAUAAUGGCCAUAUUUUUGUUUGCUGGCAAUGGUUUCCUGAACCCAGUCAGUAUAGCGGCACACAGCAGCAUACACCCCAGGAGCGCCAGCUUCAGCACAGCCAUAACCCCACGACACAACUCCAUACAGCUCUCCGUUACAAACCAGAGGGCCACCAGAAUCACCCUGAAAGAGAGCAUAUUCAAGGAGGAAAAGAUGCGUGCACCUGACAGGAGUCUUUGCCUCCUUCCAGGAAACCAGCACAGAACAUGUUAUCAGUGAUCAUGUGGCCAUAGGCAUCCACACACUGGGACUGGGAGAGCACCGGGAGGUCCAGGCAUUGCAGAAGUGACGCGUAGUUAACUGAAGAAUAUAGAACAAAUACAUCAGCAAUAAAAAAUGAUACAAGUGAAUAAAACAAACUACUUCA
This is a long non-coding RNA of Alosa sapidissima (American shad), 435 nucleotides long. RefSeq lists it as uncharacterized. The record is from RefSeq and is a predicted model, not a curated record. The transcript has 3 exons. Lineage: Eukaryota; Metazoa; Chordata; Actinopteri; Clupeiformes; Clupeidae.